This 341-nucleotide unclassified non-coding RNA is filed under the name Crepidotus crocophyllus. RNAcentral describes it as "partial internal transcribed spacer region". The stretch from base 1 to 46 matches the Rfam family "Eukaryotic small subunit ribosomal RNA", at positions 1786 to 1831 of the family's 1831-position model. Lineage: Eukaryota; Fungi; Basidiomycota; Agaricomycetes; Agaricales; Crepidotaceae. The record is from RNAcentral.
AAGUCGUAACAAGGUUUCCGUAGGUGAACCUGCGGAAGGAUCAUUAAUGGAAUAAACCUGGUGGACUGUCGCUGGCUCUCUUGAGAGCAUGUGCACGUCUGCCAUCUUUAUCUUUCCACCUGUGCACCUUUUGUAGACCUGGAUAUGCUUAAUAUAUCAAUCUGAGGUCAACUCAGGCGUGAGGACUGUCGGCGUCGCAAGAUAUCGGCUUUCCUUGUAGCAUUCCAGGGACUAUGUUUUUCAUACACACUUUAAAAAUCUAAUAGAAUGUCGUUUUAAAAAGGUCUUUGUACCUAUAUAAAACAAAUAUACAACUUUCAGCAACGGAUCUCUUGGCUCUC